This 501-nucleotide ribosomal RNA is filed under the name uncultured bacterium. Its description in RNAcentral is "partial 16S ribosomal RNA". It matches the Rfam family "Bacterial small subunit ribosomal RNA", at positions 29 to 523 of the family's 1533-position model. The record is from RNAcentral.
AUUGAACGCUGGCGGCAUGCCUUACACAUGCAAGUCGAACGGCAGCACGGGUGCUUGCACCUGGUGGCGAGUGGCGAACGGGUGAGUAAUACAUCGGAACGUACCUUAUCGUGGGGGAUAACGCAGCGAAAGCUGUGCUAAUACCGCAUACGCCCUGAGGGGGAAAGCGGGGGAUCGAAAGACCUCGCGCGAUUAGAGCGGCCGAUGCCUGAUUAGCUUGUUGGUGGGGUAAAAGCCCACCAAGGCGACGAUCAGCAGCUGGUCUGAGAGGACGAUCAGCCACACUGGGACUGAGACACGGCCCAGAAUCCUACGGGAGGCAGCAGGGGGGAAUUUUGGACAAUGGGGGCAACCCUGAUCCAGCAAUGCCGCGUGAGUGAAGAAGGCCUUCGGGUUGUAAAGCUCUUUUGUCAGGGAAGAAACACCGGCUCUAACACAGUCCGGGAAUGACGGUACCUGAAGAAUAAGCACCGGCUAACUACGUGCCAGCCGCCGCAGUAA